This 228-nucleotide RNase P RNA is filed under the name Polaromonas sp. RNAcentral describes it as "partial RNase P RNA component class A". It matches the Rfam family "Bacterial RNase P class A", at positions 1 to 283 of the family's 367-position model. Rfam says of the family: Ribonuclease P (RNase P) is a ubiquitous endoribonuclease, found in archaea, bacteria and eukarya as well as chloroplasts and mitochondria. Its best characterised activity is the generation of mature 5'-ends of tRNAs by cleaving the 5'-leader elements of precursor-tRNAs. The record is from RNAcentral. Lineage: Bacteria; Pseudomonadati; Pseudomonadota; Betaproteobacteria; Burkholderiales; Comamonadaceae.
GAAGCACGCCAGACUGCCGCUGGUGCAAGGGUGGAAACACCGCACUGGAGGAAGGUCCGGACUGCACAGGGCAGCGUAGCAGCUAACGGCUGUCCACCGUGAGGUGAGGAUCAGAGCUACAGAGACGAGCCGGUUAAGUCCGGGUGAAACGAGCAAUCUCUACGCGCAGCAAUACCAAGUAGGCACACGUUGACGGGGCCCCCGGAGUGUGCGGGUAGGUAGCACCGA